GAUUUCUGGCUCGGAGCAUCUGGCCCGCCUCGAAAGAGUGUGUGUUGUCGGUGUGCUCCGGUCAUCCUUCUGGAGAACAUCUCUGCCCUUCAUUGGGUCGGGGGUGGGAUCCAGAUCGUUUACUUUGAAAAAAUUAGAGUGUUCAAAGCAGGCUUAACGCUGUGAAUACAUUAGCAUGGAAUAAUAAGAUAUGGCUUUGGUACUAUUUUGUUGGUUUCUAGGACCAAAGUAAUGAUUGAUAGGGACAGUUGGGGGUGCUAGUAUUCAAUGGCCAGAGGUGAAAUUCUUGGAUUCAUUGAAGACUAACUUAUGCGAAAGCAUU
RNAcentral lists this ribosomal RNA (322 nucleotides) under uncultured Cercozoa. RNAcentral's name for it is "bacterial SSU rRNA". The stretch from base 106 to 322 matches the Rfam family "Eukaryotic small subunit ribosomal RNA", at positions 738 to 955 of the family's 1831-position model. Lineage: Eukaryota; Cercozoa. The record is from RNAcentral.